CCAACCAAUGAUGGGAAUUCUUGGGUGUCUGAAUCAAUGAUUUUUAUUAAGCCUGUAACUCUGAGGUCCAU
Molecule: small nucleolar RNA, 71 nt
Organism: Cricetulus griseus (Chinese hamster)
Lineage: Eukaryota; Metazoa; Chordata; Mammalia; Rodentia; Cricetidae
Product: predicted gene, 24564
Source: Ensembl